Molecule: ribosomal RNA, 253 nt
Filed under: uncultured bacterium
Lineage: Bacteria
Description: partial 16S ribosomal RNA
Rfam family: Bacterial small subunit ribosomal RNA
Source: RNAcentral
UACGGAGGGGGCUAGCGUUGUUCGGAAUUACUGGGCGUAAAGCGCACGCAGGCGGAUCGAUAAGUCAGGGGUGAAAUCCCGGGGCUCAACCUCGGAACUGCCUUUGAUACUGUCGAUCUCGAGUCCGGGAGAGGUGAGUGGAAUUCCUAGUGUAGAGGUGAAAUUCGUAGAUAUUAGGAAGAACACCAGUGGCGAAGGCGGCUCACUGGCCCGGUACUGACGCUCAGGUGCGAAAGCGUGGGGAGCAAACAGG